This 1407-nucleotide long non-coding RNA is filed under the name Homo sapiens (human). RNAcentral's name for it is "HSALNT0052599". Lineage: Eukaryota; Metazoa; Chordata; Mammalia; Primates; Hominidae. The record is from RNAcentral.
GGAGUUUUAAAAAAUUAUCUUUAGCACAUACGGUUUGGCCUCUGGAAAGCUAUUAACUAAGGCAAUUCAAAUUCCAGCCCCCAGUAGCCUGCUGUAAAUCAGAGCAUUUGGAUAUUGGGUGGGUAAGACUUGACAAGGCAAACAGCGAAAGCCUCCAAUAUCUUGCUCCUUAGUUGCUGUGGGAGGUUUUAAGCCAUGAAUUUUGCUGGAAGCAAUGGAAAUAACAUCCAAUUCCUGUUUGUGGGCCAUGUCCACUGGAAAAGCAUUGUGCUAAAGGGGCAGACAGGAGAGAUUUAUGAUAUAGUCCUCUAUUUUAAGGAUCUUAGAGCAGGAAAAACCAUUGAAGGUGAAACUUUCCUUUAACUUGUAAUAUGGAUGUUUCAUGAAACAGAGAUAGCAUUGGAUGGAACAAUUAAAGAAUGUGAUACUUGAACCGGUUUUUUUUUUUUUUUUUUUUUUUUUUUUUUUUUUUUUUUUUUUUUUGAGACAGUCUCACUCUGUUGCCCAGCCUGGAUUGCAGUGACAUGAUCACAGCUCACUACAACCUCAACCUCCCUGGGAUCAAGCUAUCCUCCCAUCUUAGCUUCCCAAGUCAUUGGGACUACAGGGAAUGUGCCGCUGUGCCCAGCCAAACUGGAUCUUCAGUAUGUUUAUGUAACUUUCCGGGAGCAGAGUGUUUUCAGCUUUGGAGCUUCAAUCGAACUUUUGAGACAAGAAGAGGAAAGACAAGAAAAGUGUCUUCUUCACAAUUUUAUUAUUUUGGUGUCAAAGAUUCCAGUUGAUUAUCCCUUUCUAUCUCCAAAGUCUGGCAAACCCUACUUACCUCCCCAACUGCUUUCGAAAGCAUAAACAAAAUAAAAUAACAUCAUCAAAGAUUCCAGAAGAUUGGGAAAGGUGUGGAAGGUAGUGAUUAAAGUAUAGUUGUAAGGGCCCUUUGACAUCAAUUUUAUUCUCUCAGGGGGCUUAAAGUGUUUCUUUUCUGCUUCCUUUACUACAAAGAUAUUUCACUCAAACUCUAUCUUGUUAUAGACUCUUGAAAACUGGGGAUAUGGUUUCUAGCCUUGUAAUUUGUGUAAUAAAAUGUCAGUCAUAAAAACCACUGGGAAUCUGGGACAUUUGUAAUGAUUGGGCUGUCGUUAAAAUACAUGAUUGCUCAAAGGUAUGGCUUAACCCAGGAAAACACAAACCACAAUAAAAGGUCACAUGGAAGAUACAGGCAUGGGCAGGCAUCACUUGGUGGCAAGCAACAGAAAUCCCUUAAGAAAGCGCGAGUGAAAAGCAAUUUAUUUCAGGGGACUCUGAUGGUAUUUUGAAGAAGGUAUAACUCCUGGAACUGGAAAGCUUUGAGAUACUUAUCUCUCUCUCUCUCUCUGUCUCUGCCUCUCUCUUUCUCUCUGCCUCUCUCUG